GCAAGAUCAGAUCGUCUCUCUGACGGCUUUCUACGAGAAAUACUUCGCGGACAUAAGACGCGGGGAAGAGCGCAAGUCCAUUAUCAGGCUCCAAGCCUUGCAAAGCAUUCCCAAGGGCUGCGUGGAAGUUGGAAGCAAAAAAGCUGCACCACGACGCAUCGAGCCCGUCAGCAAGGUACCCGUUCUCGUGAAUGGCCCAGCGUAUCCCGCCAUACCGACAGACAGCAGGCAGUCUCCAGCAAUACCUACUCCGUCGCACUUCCGGAUGGGGUGACCUUAUUCAGCGUUUACUAUUAACUAUAUACGAAUAGUUUGUGUAUUAAAGUGCACCGUUACAUUUACCAACAG
Long non-coding RNA from Ornithodoros turicata, 348 nucleotides. RefSeq lists it as uncharacterized. The record is from RefSeq and is a predicted model, not a curated record. The transcript has 2 exons. NCBI's taxonomy places the organism in Eukaryota, Metazoa, Arthropoda, Arachnida, Ixodida, Argasidae.